RNAcentral lists this non-coding RNA (26 nucleotides) under Mus musculus (house mouse). The record is from RNAcentral. Lineage: Eukaryota; Metazoa; Chordata; Mammalia; Rodentia; Muridae.
UAAAAAUCUCAUGGUGGCCAGGAAGC